Molecule: long non-coding RNA, 2120 nt
Organism: Carassius gibelio (silver crucian carp)
Lineage: Eukaryota; Metazoa; Chordata; Actinopteri; Cypriniformes; Cyprinidae
Exons: 6
Source: RefSeq, a predicted model, not a curated record
CUGCAUGCACACUAAAAAAUCCUGGGUUAUUUUUUCUACCCAAGUGCUGGGUUGAGCCAUUUGGGUAAAUUUUUUGGGUUAUUUUCUCAGUCUUGGGUAGUUUUUGGGUAGUUCUAUGUAACCCAACCGCUGGGUUAUUUUCUGGGUCGUUUUCACUGAGAGCUGAAUCAAUGCACCCCCUCCCCCACUCGGACGCAAUAACCCAGCUCAUUGGGUCAAAUCAACUCCGCGCAGGAUCAGCGCAGCGCGGGCUGACUGAAUUCGAGGUGGAGGUGGAUGCCACACACACGCUGUAAUAUUUGGAGAAAUAAGACCCGCUCUUGACUGUCCGUGGUGGCAAAUCCACAGCCUUUAGCUGGAGUAGAAUCAACCGUAUCUGAAGAGAGAGCUGAGGAAAUUAAACAAUGGCUGAGAAACAACACACAGCCCAUCAGCCAGGUGGAACAGUACAUCUGAAAAAUAUGUUUGAGGUCCUCCAUGAGUUUACUCGGCUAACUACCUCAGGCAUGAUUGCACAGGACUUUCACAUUUAACAUUAAGAUGAAGCCCCAAAACUGUUUGAAAAAUGGCUGGUAUACUGACAGGAUCUUGCUUUUUGUGAGCGAGAAGCAAAGCUUUCAUGUACAGCUGAAGAAAUGACAGAAGAUGCAAAGGGAAAUCUUGCACUAAAGCUAUUACCUGUUUUGCUUCUACCUCCACCCUACAAAUUUGGCAGAAAAACAGUCCGACCCAGCAUUGAUGAAAGCAAAAAAGCUUUCAUUGACAUUCAGCCUGUUGGAACAAAUAUGGUGGAGUACCUCCAGCAGGCUGAAGCAUCAAGACCUUACCCAUAUGUCCUGUAACUUGAAAAUGGACACAUUGCGUCGCGGGCAUUUGUCAUCCUCGCAGGAGAAGCUUUGGAACAAAGAACUAUUGUUUAAGGGGAAGUCAUGGCCUAAUGGUUAGAGAGUUGGACUCGCAAUUUAAGGGUUGUGUGUUCGAGUCUCGGGCCGACAGGAAUUGUAGGUGAGAGGAGUGAAUGUAUAGUGCUCUCUUCCACCCUCAAUACCACGACUUAGGUGCCCUUGAGCAAGGCACUGAACCCCCAACUGCUCCCCGGGCGCCGCAGCAUAAAUGGCUGCCCACUGCUCCGGGUGUGUGCUCACAGUGUGUGUGUGUGUUCACUGCUCUGUGUGUGUGCACUUCGGAUGGGUUAAAUGCAGAGCGUGAAUUCUAAGUAUGGGUCACCAUACUUGGCUGAAUGUCACAUCACUUUCACUUCACUUCAUUGGGACAGUAAAUGUAUGUUUCAAAUCGUUUUAUGUUUUUGAUGUAAACUAACCGAAACAUUGUUUCUAUAUUAGGGAGUUUAUUCAUAAUAUUUUUGAGUUGGAGGGAAGUGAAUCCCCAACAGUGAAUUUUUUGCACUGGGCACUACAUUCCUGCAAGUAGAUUAUAAGAGGUUCUUUGAACAAACAGUGGUUCAAGAACACGAGGUAGCAUUUUAGUUUAAGUUUUAUUUGCACAUGAGAUUUUUGUUCUGUUUUUUUUUUGUAUAAACAACUGUUUUAUUGCUUGAGGAAGAGUAUUACUUUAUGCGUACUGAUUAUCAAUUACAUUUUUAUGUAGAAAUCUUUUACUGCCAAUACGUUGUAUUUCAUAGAUUUAUUUUUGUGUUCAUUUUGUAGACUUAAAACAACAGGUCCAUAAUGUAGACUUAAAACAAAUGUGCUUUGUAACAAACAGUUCUUGAGGUAAAGUAUUUUAGUUUUAAUUUCAUGUGCAUAUGGAUUAUUUAAAAAUAAGUAUUUAUUUGUAUAUUUAAAAAAAACCUUGAGGUUUUUUGGAGUUCAUGAAUUUCAUGAGCAUAUGGAUUAAAAAUAAUAUGAAUAAUUUUUUAAAUGCAUUACUAAACCUUGUGGUUCUUUGGAGUUUAUGAAUUCAAAUGUUUUUUUCUAAACAUUUACAGUUUAGAAAAGUUACAGAGGCAAACCAUAAAAAUGAAAGAAAUUGUUUUAAAUACUGUUUAUAAAUGGAAUUUUAUUUUUUUAGUUUUGUAUGAUCUCUUGAAUUUUUGGUUGAGGUAAAGUGUAAUUACAAAGUGUAAUAUGCUGAAAGAAAAAUAAAGAUAAUACAAUGUU